RNAcentral lists this small nuclear RNA (21 nucleotides) under Arabidopsis thaliana (thale cress). Its description in RNAcentral is "snRNA_18381". The record is from RNAcentral. Lineage: Eukaryota; Viridiplantae; Streptophyta; Magnoliopsida; Brassicales; Brassicaceae.
GGCUUGUGGCAGCCAAGCGUU